Molecule: ribosomal RNA, 253 nt
Filed under: uncultured bacterium
Lineage: Bacteria
Description: partial 16S ribosomal RNA
Rfam family: Bacterial small subunit ribosomal RNA
Source: RNAcentral
UACGUAGGCAGCAAACGUUGUUCGGAAUUACUGGGCGUAAAGAGUGUGUAGGCGGUUUUGUAAGUUUGGUGUGAAAUCUCCCGGCUUAACUGGGAGGGUGCGCCGAAAACUGCAAGGCUUGAGUGCUGGAGAGGAUAGCGGAAUUCCUGGUGUAGCGGUGAAAUGCGUAGAUAUCAGGAGGAACACCGGCGGUGUAGACGGCUAUCUGGACAGUAACUGACGCUGAGACACGAAAGCGUGGGGAGCAAACAGG